GGAUGGACUAGGUCGGGCGGUUAGGCCCCGCUCGUACUCCCGCACUAUGGUCUUUAGCGGGGGCCGAACCCGGGGGCGUCCGGUCUGACGGGCGCGGACCCCGCAAGCUAACGUGGAAGCCUCGUCCGACGGGGGUAGCGGUCCACGGGAGUUCACCUGCAGGGGUGAUCUGCCGUGGUUUACCGCGGGCAAUCCGCCAGGCGCGGAAGCGAGCAGCGGACCCGCGGACACCUGCCGCUCGUCGGGUCGCGGGGUGGAGGAGGCGCGCGGGACUAUCCGUGCUCGAACGCCGGGCAAUCCCGUUGUCCACCC
This 312-nucleotide signal recognition particle RNA is filed under the name Halapricum salinum. RNAcentral describes it as "Archaeal signal recognition particle RNA". It matches the Rfam family "Archaeal signal recognition particle RNA". Lineage: Archaea; Methanobacteriati; Methanobacteriota; Halobacteria; Halobacteriales; Haloarculaceae. The record is from Rfam by way of RNAcentral.